Molecule: transfer RNA, 73 nt
Filed under: Oryza sativa Indica Group (long-grained rice)
Lineage: Eukaryota; Viridiplantae; Streptophyta; Magnoliopsida; Poales; Poaceae
Description: tRNA-Cys
Rfam family: tRNA
About the family: Transfer RNA (tRNA) molecules are approximately 80 nucleotides in length. Their secondary structure includes four short double-helical elements and three loops (D, anti-codon, and T loops).
Source: RNAcentral
GUGGUUCUGGUAGCUCAGCUGGUUAGAGCAAAGGACUGCUUGAAAUCCUUCAGUGGUUCGAUUCCACCUCAGA